Long non-coding RNA from Alexandromys fortis (reed vole), 590 nucleotides. RefSeq lists it as uncharacterized. NCBI's taxonomy places the organism in Eukaryota, Metazoa, Chordata, Mammalia, Rodentia, Cricetidae. The record is from RefSeq and is a predicted model, not a curated record. The transcript is spliced from 3 exons.
UGCUGUCUCCCAUCACAUUCGACACCGGAUGGCUUGCAUUCCUCACUGCAGCCCACGUCUGUCCUCAGUACCAAAUUCAGAAGUCAGGCGUGAUCUCGUUCUUGGUUUUGACAAGUGUGAUAAAUACCUCUUAGUGGGCUUUCCCAAACCCAGGAGCAGGAAGAAGAAACCUGGACUGUCCCCAGGCUAGGUUUCCAUUUAAUCUUCAGUGGCAGCACAUGAUUCCUGCACAUAAGAAGCCAGCAGAAAAUUCUCUCUAAGGACGUUACGCACUCCCAAAGUGGGGACGAGCUACUCAGAUGAACAGAUCUGCCUUUUUGGAAGUCAGCCAUCCUGAACAGUGUUUCCUGUCAUUUGGAUGUUCUGGCUCUAAUCUGCCGAAGGUUGGAAGAAACCAGAAUUACUACGACUGUUGGUUUUGUUGUGACCAUGUCAUCCACUCUUUUGAUCUACCCCGACUUAGCACUGGUAGGUGGGUGUGUAGCUGUCAGCUGGGCUGCAAGUAAAGACAGUGUCUUCUUCACUUGCCUUGAGUGUCCAGCCCUGGUGAUCCCAGCAUGCAGAAGGUCCGCUAACUAUAAGACACUAUC